RNAcentral lists this small nucleolar RNA (241 nucleotides) under Meriones unguiculatus (Mongolian gerbil). Its description in RNAcentral is "Small Cajal body specific RNA 6 (ENSMUGG00000019349.1)". The record is from RNAcentral. Lineage: Eukaryota; Metazoa; Chordata; Mammalia; Rodentia; Muridae.
GAUCCUGUCUCGAAAAUUUAAAUUGAGACACACAAGGAUACAAUUAAGCUUCCCAGCUCUCUCUCUUCCAACAGGCUCAAGUAAUGCUAUGAUAGGCAAGGCAGUGCCACACAGUGCCACACAGGCCCGAGUCUCCUGAUGAGUCUGGGAAAGAUGUAGCUGCAUCCAAUUUCUUAGUGACAAAGGGGUUUGAGUGUUUUGAUCAUGUAGUGUGUAUGUCUAUGGUGUGACAGGUGAGAUC